Molecule: RNA transcript, 2413 nt
Organism: Dendrobium catenatum
Lineage: Eukaryota; Viridiplantae; Streptophyta; Magnoliopsida; Asparagales; Orchidaceae
Gene name: protein indeterminate-domain 7
Exons: 5
Source: RefSeq, a predicted model, not a curated record
GUGAUAUGUGUGGCAGGGAAGCAAAAGACAAAGAACUACGUAUACAGUGUUGUGAAGCUUGUGACCUUCAAGAGUUCGACAAAGUCUUCUCUUUCACAUUUUGCUAGUUAAAUUUCAUCUCUCUCUCCUUUUUCUCGAUCUUUCGAGCUUUGCUUUUUCAGUUCUUUUCACUGAGUUAUAAAUCAUAAAUUUCUCUGACUGGUUAGUCAUGCAGGUUCCAGUAAUAAUAUGAUAUCUUCCGCUUUAAAUUUCUCCAUCUAUGGCAGAAGCUGUUAUAUGGUUUAAUUAAUUUGUUGUCUUCUUUCUCCUUUCAAUAUCUCAUUAAGAAGGCUUGUCGACUGACUGCUGUUGAUUUGUUUGACAAUAAAGCUUUGAAGAAACAAGAUCUCUUGCAAAAGAUCUUGCUAGUGCAGCUGAAAGAUGAAAGGGUUUGCAGUUAAGAAAACCCUAGACAUCGAUGUCUGUUCAGACCCCACAGCUUCUGACCACCAAGCCUGUCUCUCCUCAAUACCAAAACCAACCAGGAAGAGGAGGAUCCCAGGAACUCUAGAUCCAAACGCCGAGGUGAUAGCCUUAUCCCCAAAGAGCUUGCUAGCCACCAAUAAGUUUAUUUGUGAGGUUUGUGGGAAAGGAUUUCAAAGAGACCAAAACCUGCAGCUUCACAGAAGAGGCCACAACCUGCCAUGGAAGCUAAAGCAGAGACAGAACAAUGAGGUCGUGAGAAGAAAGGUCUAUAUCUGCCCAGAGCCAUCUUGUUCUAAUCACUUGCCUUCUCGAGCUCUGGGUGACCUCACAGGCAUCAAAAAGCACUUUUUUAGAAAGCAUGGAGAGAAGAGAUGGAGCUGUGAUAAGUGUUCUAAGAAAUAUGCAGUGCUCUCAGAUUGGAAGGCACAUUCAAAGAUCUGUGGAUCAAAAGAGUACAGAUGUGAAUGUGGAACCAUUGUCUCAAGGAGAGACAGCUUUAUCACACACAAAGCCUUCUGUGAAGUAUUGGCAUUAGAGAAAUACACAAGAACAAUGAGUGCAAACCAGAACCUGCUUCAUCUCCCUCAUCCCACAGACUUGCCCAACUUACACAUCAACAAUAGCUUCUUUUCACCUGGCUUAAGAUCAGAAAUCCCGCAAUGGCUACCAUCAAUACCUACAUCAUUCGGUCAUCAUCAAAUAAGCAAUCUCAAUCAUUCAGUCUACUCGUUAAAUAGUCCAAGUCAUUUCAAACCACCUCCUCUUCCGUCUGAUCCAAACUUUUCAGCUACUGCAUUGCUACAGAAGGCAGCGGAGAUAGAGUCCACUAUAAGCAGACCCUCAGAGCUGCAUUCAUGGCUUUCUUCAAAUAGUCAGGAAAUGAGUAAUGGUGUUUUUGAACUAGGUUCAUCAGUUUCUUCUCCUCUUCAGUUCCACCCAUUUCCUUCUUGUUCAGGAUUUGGUUCACCGUUUGAAGAGACAGUGGGAGGACAACUAAUUAUGAGUCCAAAGAGAGGGGAGAGAAGUGCUGAGGAUUUCCUGGUAGGGAGGAAUAUUGUGGGAGAUCAAGGUGGGAGAGAUGAAACAACCAGAGAUUUCUUAGGGCUAAGAGUACCCUCACAUGAGGAGCUUUUCAGCUUAUCAGGUAUGGAGACUUGCAUGGGCUCUUCAUCAUCCUUCGGGUAGCCAAGGAGAAUAUAUAUGAGCAGCCAUGACUACCAACCAGUGCUACAAGCUAGAGAUUUGAACAGUUCCAUCUUCUCCAAUAGGGGACUCAGAUAAGAGAGAGGCCUGUACGCACCUGCAGUAUGGGGAGCAUUUCCAUGCACAGUUAAAUUUCUCCCUACUCCAUUCUUAAUUAGUUGUAUUAAAGAUCAUCAUUAAUUUGACGUUAAUUACUGUACAUAUCGAUAGAUCUUUGCAAUGAGUUUACUGAGCUUUUUUUUUUUAAGUAUAUAUUAAGGUUUUCACGUGCAUGAACCUGACAAGGCAUAUGCAAUGAAAGGUUGAACAGAACGAGCUUGUGAUUUUAUGUUGGCUGUAUCUGAUUUAGCUUAGUUCGUCGUGGUCUAUGCCAUCUGCUGUAGCCUUUAGAGUUCAUAUAUGUAUAUAAUUGUCAGGGGAAUCAAAUGGCAGAAAGGUUUUAUUAAUUGCAUCAAUCUAGUCGACAGCUACCUCGAUGUUUAACCCAGUUUGUUGUUUGGUCAUCUACUGGUGGUUUGAUGUGUUGCUCAGUAUGAUGUUUGGUGCUCAAUUCAUGGUCUUUGUCUGUUCGGGACAAUGGUGUGGAGGUUAGUUUGGUUAUCUGUUGGUAGUUCUCUUGUGCUUUUGUGGCAAUAUUGAUGAGUUCUCUUUGGGCUCCAAAGUUGGCUGGAGCUUGAGCUUAUUCUUCGAUAAUUGUUGGUGCCUACAUAAGCUUAAAGUUGUUUUGUAUUUGGUUCAUUUUUUG